AUAUAUUUCUUGCUUUUUUUUUCAUUUAUGCCUUUCUUCAUUAAAGCCCACGCAUUAUUUGCGUUUUGUGCUUAAAACCUUUUUUCGCUUUUCUCCUUCAUAACUCCGGGGCAUCUACCAAGUCCGAACAAAAAGAUGGAGAAACAACGAAAAUUCAAGAAAGAGAACUUGAUAUAAUGGUAAUACUAAACAGAUUUUUUAGAACGAAAUAAAAGGUCACAAUAAAAAUGGUUUGAGCAGAUUUAAUUAUUCAAUUAUGUCGAUUCUCUUGACCAUGGAGAAUAAAGAGUAUUCCGACUAAUCAUUUUGCUUUUAUGCAGUUUCUGGAUGAGACGAAGCUGACUGGAUGAUAAAUUUUUCGAAAUUUAGCUGAUUUGUGUCGUGUAAUUUUUUAUAUUG
RNAcentral lists this long non-coding RNA (399 nucleotides) under Nicotiana benthamiana. Its description in RNAcentral is "long non-coding RNA (NBEN_LNC021164)". Lineage: Eukaryota; Viridiplantae; Streptophyta; Magnoliopsida; Solanales; Solanaceae. The record is from RNAcentral.